UACGUAGGGUGCAAGCGUUAUUCGGAAUUACUGGGCGUAAAGCGUGCGCAGGCGGUUUGGCAAGACAGAUGUGAAAUCCCCGGGCUUAACCUGGGAAUGGCAUUUGUGACUGUUCGGCUAGAGUGUGUCAGAGGGGGGUAGAAUUCCACGUGUAGCAGUGAAAUGCGUAGAGAUGUGGAGGAAUACCGAUGGCGAAGGCAGCCCCCUGGGAUAACACUGACGCUCAUGCACGAAAGCGUGGGGAGCAAACAGG
This 253-nucleotide ribosomal RNA is filed under the name uncultured bacterium. RNAcentral describes it as "partial 16S ribosomal RNA". It matches the Rfam family "Bacterial small subunit ribosomal RNA", at positions 524 to 776 of the family's 1533-position model. The record is from RNAcentral.